UACGAAGGGGGCUAGCGUUACUCGGAUUGACUGGGCGUAAAGGGCGCGUAGGCGGCUUGUACAGUCAGACGUGAAAUUCCUGGGCUCAACCUGGGGGCUGCGUUUGGUACGUGCGGGCUUGAGUUCGGAAGAGGGUCGUGGAAUUCCCAGUGUAGAGGUGAAAUUCGUAGAUAUUGGGAAGAACACCGUUGGCGAAGGCGGCGACCUGGUCCGAUACUGACGCUGAGGCGCGAAAGCGUGGGGAGCAAACAGG
Molecule: ribosomal RNA, 253 nt
Filed under: uncultured bacterium
Lineage: Bacteria
Description: partial 16S ribosomal RNA
Rfam family: Bacterial small subunit ribosomal RNA
Source: RNAcentral